UUUGAACCCCCGGAGGAUCGAUUUAAUUACAAGGGUGAGGGAGAAACAACAACACCUAAAAUGUGGAAUAUAGCAUAUAGUCGACAAGAGAAAUCUACGAAAAAACAAACAAAACUUUCAACAACGGAUCUCUUGGUUCUCGCAUCGAUGAAGAGCGCAGCGAAAUGCGAUACCUAGUGUGAAUUGCAGCCAUCGUGAAUCAUCGAGUUCUUGAACGCACAUUGCGCCCCUCGGCAUUCCGGGGGGCAUGCCUGUUUGAGCGUCGUUUCCAUCUUGCGCGUGCGCAGAGUUGGGGGAGCGGAGCGGACGACGUGUAAAGAGCGUCGGAGCUGCGACUCGCCUGAAAGGGAGCGAAGCUGGCCGAGCGAACUAGACUUUUUUUCAGGGACGCUUGGCGGCCGAGGGCGAGUGUUGCGAGACAACAAAAAGCUCGACCUCAAAUCAGGUAGGAAUGCCCGCUGAACUAAG
Molecule: ribosomal RNA, 468 nt
Filed under: Pichia kudriavzevii
Lineage: Eukaryota; Fungi; Ascomycota; Pichiomycetes; Pichiales; Pichiaceae
Description: eukaryotic LSU rRNA
Rfam family: 5.8S ribosomal RNA (bases 113-265)
Source: RNAcentral